UCCGGGCCACGGGGCUGCAGGGAGCGUCCUCAAAUCUCCGCCCCGGGGCUUCUCCCGCUGCGCAGCCGGACGCGACCUUCGCACCCGCCGCCGCGGCUGAAGUUAUUUAUCAAUCCGAGGAGGAGGCGGGUGGAAGCGGCAGGUCCAGCUCCGCCUCGCACGCCGCUCCCAGCGCAGAACAUGGGGCGUGAGCAAGCCUUGAACCACAUUCACUUGUCCAGUUCACUGCAGGAACUGGGAAGAUCAAAGGAACUAGAAAGGAGUGGAAAUCAAUAGGACUAAGGGUUGUCUACACGGUGGAGACUAUAUCAGCCUAAUCCUGUACUGUAGAUACAACCUACAUGGACGGAAGGCGUUUUUCAGUCAGUGUAGGACCACUUCCCUGAGCAACAGUAGCCAUGUGGAUGGAAGCAUUCCUCCAUCAACAUAGUUGCAUCUACCAGGGCCUAGCUACAGCCGUCAGCCACCCAAGAACAACCCCACUCAACCUGUCGGGUCUGGACUGGGAUGGCUAGCCCAAGACUCUGUAACAUUCACAUUUUCUAGCAUGCUCAGUAUUGGCUUUACAAUGGUGCCAAUGGCACCAUGGCACUGGGCCCUCACGCAGAAGGGGCCCUGCUCCCCCCGCACUCUGCCCCUGAGGCCCUGCCCAUCGCUCACUCCUCUGCCCCCUACCCUCCAUGUGAGUGGCAGGGGGGGCCUUGGGGGCAGAGAGGAGCAAGCAGUGAGCAGGGCCUCAGGGGCAGAGUGCAGGGCCAGGGCCAUGGUCUGGGGGCCAGGGCCCACAAAAGGUUAAUCCAGCCCUGAGCAUGCUAGCUUGAGCAGAGCUAGCAUGUGUCUAUCAACCUGGGCUGGGAGGCAUGCCCCCAGCUGCAGUGUAGACAUACCCUUAGAAGUCUGCUAUUCAUGAUGAGAAUAAGCCAGUGUGUGGUGAUACAUUCUAUCAGCUCUUCUCUAGUGAUCCAGGGGGUUCUGCACAAGCUAAGCACUUAUAUUAAAAACAAGAGUGAGAAAGUUUCCAGCCCUUUUGGUUACAAAAAAUUCUAAAGCUAACCCAAUACUGCAGAAACAACAUCUCUCCCCAAAUGAAUGGAAGACCUGGUCUACACUAGGGGGGAGGAUCGAUCUAAGAUACGCAACUUCAGCUAUGAGAAUAGCGUAGCUGAAGUCGACGUAUCUUAGAUCGACUUAGAAUCACUUACUU
This is a non-coding RNA of Chrysemys picta bellii (western painted turtle), 1204 nucleotides long. NCBI's taxonomy places the organism in Eukaryota, Metazoa, Chordata, Testudines, Emydidae. The record is from RefSeq and is a predicted model, not a curated record.